GGAUCUGUUACUAAACUCACUGAACAAUUAUGAAGUUCAAACAAAAUCAAGAUUUUAGUUUUUAUGGAGAGGAAACAGGAUGAAGAAAACCCUGACUCCACGACAUCCAACAACUCGAGUGAUUCACUGACGCCACGACAGCCAAUCAGAACGGAGAUCAGCGAACACAGAGACCUGAUCUUAAAUACUGAGACGGUGAUAAAAACGAGUUCGUCUGAAGGAAAGUGAGCGAGGAGGUCGAGAAUUUGGAGAGGUGAGAAAACAUCAAACAACUUCAACCAUGUUUGAGAAGGAAACUCGUCUUCUCUUUGUCGACCUGGUACAGAGUGAGUAAUCCAUCUAAAAGUUAGCUGACAGUAAAUAUUCUUCUUAAAUGGAACAAACUUGUUAGAAAAUGACGUAUUUUUGAUGUUUUAAAGGUUUAUUUUUGAUUAUUUUCAUGCGUUGUACCUUAAACCUCCUGUACUGGCACGUUUUUGAUUGUAAAUGCUUAAAAAAACACUUAAAUCUGCUUUUUUCUGCAUCAAGACUUUGACUUUUUCAGGAACCUCUAUUUCAACAAAAUAAAACUAAAAAAAUAAAUUGACAAAAUUAUAAAAUGCUCUUAUUAAAAUUAUGGCACCUGUCAUGUUAGGGUCGCUGUUGACCCGGUUGGAUCAAAAUCUAAUAAUCAGAGCAAAAACUGAAAUCAUAAGUGCACUGACAGGAAACACACUGACACUCAGAUCCUCCUUCAAUCAUGUGAGAGUUAGUCAAUUCUCAUUUUGUUUUUCUCUGCACAUAAAACAACGUCGGGCAUGUCCAGACAUGUGAGAUCAGUAUAGAUGUCUGUGUGAGGGGUAAACUGACAAAGGAAGGCCCAGAGGACCACAACAAAAAAUACUAUAAGUAAUAUUUCCAUGGAUAAUGAAGCCAGAACAAGGUAACCUAGAGAUGAGAACCAAACUGGAUGAUAGAGAAAUGUUUUUAAUUUACAGCUGAUUUAAGACACGGGUCAAAACCGACCUUAACAUGGUGGGUGUGAAGUAAACGCUCAGUUGAUACUGAGACGGUGAUAAAAAGGAGUUGUGAGGAGGUGGAGUUAUCUGUUGAGGUGAGAAAACAUCAAACAACUUCAAC
Xyrichtys novacula (pearly razorfish) is the source of this 1119-nucleotide non-coding RNA. The record is from the annotation of a GenBank genome assembly. Lineage: Eukaryota; Metazoa; Chordata; Actinopteri; Labriformes; Labridae.